Molecule: ribosomal RNA, 500 nt
Filed under: uncultured bacterium
Lineage: Bacteria
Description: partial 16S ribosomal RNA
Rfam family: Bacterial small subunit ribosomal RNA
Source: RNAcentral
AUUGAACGCUGGCGGCCUGCCUUACACAUGCAAGUCGAACGGCAGCACGGGGGCAACCCUGGUGGCGAGUGGCGAACGGGUGAGUAACGCAUCGGAAUGUACCCAGUAGUGGGGGAUAACUAGUCGAAAGACUGGCUAAUACCGCAUACGCACUACGGUGGAAAGCGGGGGAUCGCAAGACCUCGCGCUCUUGGAGCAGCCGAUGUCCGAUUAGGUAGUUGGUGUGGUAAAAGCCUACCAAGCCUGCGAUCGGUAGCUGGUCUGAGAGGACGACCAGCCACACUGGGAAUGAGACACGGCCCAGACUCCUACGGGAGGCAGCAGUGGGGAAUUUUGGACAAUGGGGGCAACCCUGAUCCAGCAAUGCCGCGUGUGUGAAGAAGGCCUUCGGGUUGUAAAGCACUUUUGGUGGGAACGAAACGGCGCUUGCUAAUACCAGGCGCUAAUGACGGUACCCGCAGAAUAAGCACCGGCUAACUACGUGCCAGCCGCCGCCGUAA